GCGAGAACUGCACCUGUAUGAAUAGGAUUAAGUAGUAAAAAAGCUGGUUUGAGGUAUUGUCAUAGCACAGAAGUACUAACACAGGUAUUGUCACAAGAUUAGGAACCAUCAAGAAAGAUCACCAAAGGCACUCAAGUUCAUUGAACCAGAAUUAAAAUGCCCUUAACUGUUUCAUGCUCGAAAGUCACAAGGGCUAUGUUAUACUCUCAGAAAGAGAUAACAGUAUAGAUUUUCU
This is a non-coding RNA of Pelobates cultripes (western spadefoot toad), 235 nucleotides long. NCBI's taxonomy places the organism in Eukaryota, Metazoa, Chordata, Amphibia, Anura, Pelobatidae. The record is from the annotation of a GenBank genome assembly.